UCAUGUUAUGCGUGUUUGUUUGUUUGAUCAAUUGAAACUUUUAGCUAUGAUAGAGUUUGGGAAUAUCUAGUGAAAUGUUGCCUAAAGAGUCACUAAGUGAUCAAGCAUGGAAUACCAAGCAAUGAAGCAAAAUAUAUUUUCUUUCAUCAUGUAAAUUCAGCUAGCUAGGAAACUUUAUAGCAAUGACAUGUUACUUGGAUUCAAUAUUUGGUGGAUAUAUUGGAAUUUUAUUGAUGUAUCACAUUGCUUUUGGCGUAAAUAUUAAUCAUUGUUCAUUGGAUAA
This is a long non-coding RNA of Rosa rugosa (rugosa rose), 283 nucleotides long. RefSeq lists it as uncharacterized. The transcript has 2 exons. Lineage: Eukaryota; Viridiplantae; Streptophyta; Magnoliopsida; Rosales; Rosaceae. The record is from RefSeq and is a predicted model, not a curated record.